UGGACUCGGGUCCUCUCGACCCCGAGCACAAAACCCAGCCUUCCGCAGCUGUCUCCAUUAGCACAAAACAAACCUCUGUGCGUCCGGAGUAGCGUACCCUGCAGGAAUGCGGGGGGAGGGUGCUGACCCCCGAGCUGGCGAGCACCGGACCAAACCAGUCUGCACCGGGACGGACCCCAGCGCUGAACUUUCGCGGACUCUCCCCUCCUUGGGACGUUAGAAGUCACACCUGGGGUGCAGAUUUAACGUGUUCAGUAGACCUGCCGCACGGGAAGGAGCGCGAUCUUUACGCGCGCAGGUGCGGAUACACCCCCGCCUCCACCUGCUUGUACUAAACCCUUUCCCCACCUAAGUUUCCGUAAAAAACCCUCCCUGACCGCCCCUCGGGGAGCCAGCCCGAGAAUUCCUUCCUUCCGGCGGCCUCGUUGUGCGGAGCACAAGUCCCUGUGAAGCCUUUCUGGGACUCCCACGAGGCCUCCUGUCCUUUUCCAUUGCCUGGCGAGCCCGGGGCCCUGCUGGGUAUCAGCCGCGCUUCAGAAACCCUAAGGGACUAAUCAGUGUAAAUGUGACGUAUAGACGGGGACCUGGCUCCAUGGGUGGAGACGGACAUGUAAACGAUUAGUAACGUUGCCUGGUCAGCACGCAGCAGGAGGUGAGCCCCUAACUGCUUGUGGUCAGUCACAGAGGAAGGGGCCGCCCGUUCACUGGGAAGCAGGAAAAGCGAGGAUCUUUCAUUACCUGGGAAUUCGAGUUGGUGAUCUCUUGUCUCUUAAGUUUUCUUUGCUUAUGGACAACUACUGUGGAAAUUGUCUUUCGGUGGCGUGUAAAUAAUUUUAGCAUUUUUUUCCCCUAAUAGUAUUUCCUUACUGUUUCGUGAGUCAGAAUGUGUCUGGCAUCUAGGUUGUCCUGCUCUUCGUGGGGUUUCCUACUUCUUUGCCACCCUGAAGAACCUCGAGGGGAAUCUCUCAACGGAGAGCGUGUAAUACACUCUGUCGGGUUAUUUCAAUCCAGCAGACCACGAAGCAAGCGGAGCUGGACCUUGGACCCUCCAAGUUCCAGAGGACGCGGUGGGGCUUGUGACCCUGAAGGUGGAGAAAGAUGAACAUACUUGGAAAGGAGACUCCAGCUUUCGAAGGGAGAAACCGCAUACCAGGGAGAUCUUUUGCAGGUGCUUCAGUUUUGCUCUCCAGAGACACCUGGACCCCUCGAGGCUCAGAGUCGCACCGGGCUCGGGGAGCUCUGCCGACGCUGGCUGCGGCCCGAGACGCACAGCAAGGAGCAGAUCGUGGAGCUGCUGGUGCUGGAGCAGUUCCUGACCAUCCUGCCCGAGGAGCUGCAGGCCCGGGUGCGGGAGCGGCCCCCGGAGAGCGGGGAGCAGGCGGUGACUGUGCGGGAUGAGCCAGGAGAACAGAACAGGAUUUUUCAGGGAUUUUUCUCUUACGUCCGACGUUCUUCACUCUAAUUGAAGCCCUGAGGAAGAGAAGCAAAUAGCGGAACAUUGCUUGAACAAAUACCCAGCUACUAAAAUGAAUACAGAAAAUGACCUUUUCAGCAUGGAAACGAACCUCUCGCUGUGGUGCCAUUUCCUGUCACUCGGCUCAAGGUCAGCUUUCCGAACAGGGCGUUCUGGUAACUCCUAGAAUGUGUGCAGGGACGAGACUCACACUUGGUGCAACCAGAAGCCACGCAAACCCCAGCUAGGACGUCCUGCCCAGAGAAAUUGCCGGCAUAGGUAGUGGCCUGUUCCUGGUGCUGUUGUUCUAAUCGGCUCGACUGAGAUAUACGAUAAAACUCAGCAAUUUUAAGAGUACAGUUUAAUGAGCUUUGACAAAUAAAUCAACGGCCAUAAAACUA
Molecule: long non-coding RNA, 1854 nt
Organism: Leptonychotes weddellii (Weddell seal)
Lineage: Eukaryota; Metazoa; Chordata; Mammalia; Carnivora; Phocidae
Source: RefSeq, a predicted model, not a curated record